This 446-nucleotide ribosomal RNA is filed under the name uncultured bacterium. RNAcentral's name for it is "partial 16S ribosomal RNA". It matches the Rfam family "Bacterial small subunit ribosomal RNA", at positions 338 to 795 of the family's 1533-position model. The record is from RNAcentral.
CCUACGGGUGGCAGCAGUCGAGAAUCAUUCACAAUGGGGGAAACCCUGAUGGGGCGACGCCGCGUGGGGGAAUGAAGGUCUUCGGAUUGUAAACCCCUGUCAUGUGGGAGCAAAUUAAAAAGAUAGUACCACAAGAGGAAGAGACGGCUAACUCUGUGCCAGCAGCCGCGGUAAUACAGAGGUCUCAAGCGUUGUUCGGAAUCACUGGGCGUAAAGCGUGCGUAGGCUGUUUCGUAAGUCGUGUGUGAAAGGCGCGGGCUCAACCCGCGGACGGCACAUGAUACUGCGAGACUAGAGUAAUGGAGGGGGAACCGGAAUUCUCGGUGUAGCAGUGAAAUGCGUAGAUAUCGGGAGGAACACUCGUGGCGAAGGCGGGUUCCUGGACAUUAACUGACGCUGAGGCACGAAAGCCAGGGGAGCGAAAAGGAUUAGAUACCCCAGUAGUC